ACGGAAAGCCGGAUGGCCGCGGGUGCCCGACCUGGUCGGGGAUCCGAGGAAAGUCCGGACUCCACAGGGCAACGGUGCCGGGUAACGCCCGGCGGGGGUAACCCCAGGGACAGCGCCACAGAGAACAGACCGCCAUGGUCCGCCAUGGUCAGGGUGAAACGGUGCGGUAAGAGCGCACCGCGGGACGGGCAACCGGACCGGCAGGGCAAGCCCCACUGGGAGCAAUGCCGAAUAGGAACCUCGCGCGGGCAACCGCAGGGCCGCCCUGGCCCGGAGGUUCGGGUUGGCAGCUAGAGGCGCGCGGGCAACCGCGCGUUCAGAUGAAUGGUCAUCGAACCGGCGCAAGCCGGGGAACAGAAUCCGGCUUACAGGCUUUCCGUGCAU
Molecule: RNase P RNA, 384 nt
Filed under: Pseudooceanicola nitratireducens
Lineage: Bacteria; Pseudomonadati; Pseudomonadota; Alphaproteobacteria; Rhodobacterales; Paracoccaceae
Description: Oceanicola sp. JLT1210 Bacterial RNase P class A
Rfam family: Bacterial RNase P class A
About the family: Ribonuclease P (RNase P) is a ubiquitous endoribonuclease, found in archaea, bacteria and eukarya as well as chloroplasts and mitochondria. Its best characterised activity is the generation of mature 5'-ends of tRNAs by cleaving the 5'-leader elements of precursor-tRNAs.
Source: Rfam by way of RNAcentral